GCUAAAUCUUCUUUUUUUUUCUUUUUCUUUUUUUUUUGUGAGUCAUUUGGUGAGGCUCUUGAUCAGUAAUUUUCAUCUUCAGUUUGUAGAUAUCUUAAGUCUCAGGUGUGCAAUUAGUUAUACUUGAAUUAAUAAAUUUAAGGAUUGAAGGAAAAAUCACCCACUGCCAGCUGUUACUUGUCUGAUUCAGUGUUUUCUGAAAAAAAAAAAAAAAAAAAAAAAAAACCAGGAAAGCCUUUUCCUUAAAACAUUUAGUUUAUAAGUUUGCAUCUUUUCCAUGUCUCAUCUUUUACUAUACUAAUUAGUAUCACACUUAAUUCUCAAAUUGUUACAUGUAAGUUACCUUUGCCUCCCUAAAUUGUAAAUUAUUAGAACCGGUGAUUCUUACUUAUUUUGCAGUCUUCUUUUUCCCAGUGCCUUGCACAGGAUAAGUCAAAUUUGGGGUGCUUAUUACAUGCCAGUUACUAUUCCAUAUACAUUGCAUGUAUUUACUCAUUCAAUCUUGUGAGCAGCUACAUGAGAUAGAUGCGAUUAUCCCUCUUUUACCUGAAAACAGGAUUGAAUAACUUCCUAGGCUAUCAAAGUAUGCGAUAAAUACUGUGACUACACUAUAUUUCCUCAUAUGUAGUAGGGUUUUGAGGAAUACUUUUUGACUGAUUAUCUUCAAUGUGAAGGUUUUCAUUUGCUGGCAUUUAUUUCCAAAACAAAGAUUCCUUUAAUCUAUAUUGCUUGUCUAAAUGCAGAGUAGGAGUAUUAUUUCAUAUUGUAUUCUACUUGUAAUUAUAUCUCGAAUUGCUUAUUUAGUGAUUUAUAACAUCUUGGAGAAAAAUACAGAAUAUUCAUGUAAAACAAUAUUUCAUAAAGAUAAUUGGGUAACAUAUGUAACAAUUUAUAUCAAAUCUCUUGAACUCACCACAAUCUCUAGUCUUUUUCCCCUCCUGUUUAUGACACCAUUGUGCUUUUAGUGUCAGAGACAGUCUUUGUUUCAUAUGUUCAAUUUCUUGCCACAUCUGGAUGUAGCGUAUCUGUAGUGUUUUCUGUUUCUGCUGCUGCUGUUAGGUUCUCUUUACCUAACCUUUCACUAAUUUUAAUCUUAUUUCUCUGCUUUAAUAUUUGUUGCCUAUUUAUGACAUUAAAAUUUUCUUAAAGUACAACUUUCAUGUGCAGAACUUUCAGUGGUGUUGCAUUACCUCCAAAAUAAAAUCCAGAUUUCAUAAUCUGCCAUUCAUCGCCACCUAGUUUGAUCCACUCACUUUCACACAUUGUUUGGUACAAUCAUCUACUAAGUAGGCUUUCUCUUUAUCCUGUACUUACUUAGACCUCUGUUUUAUGCCCA
This 1336-nucleotide long non-coding RNA is filed under the name Homo sapiens (human). Its description in RNAcentral is "non-protein coding lnc-ZNF654-3:2". The record is from RNAcentral. Lineage: Eukaryota; Metazoa; Chordata; Mammalia; Primates; Hominidae.